GAUUAGAACGGAACAGCACGACACGACACGACACGCCUCGACUUUCCUUCCUUCCUUCACACCAUCAUAGUGGUAGUCGAGCGUUAUUAUGGACGUGCGGGUAAAACAACACAUCGGGAACAGUCGCUUGGAGUGUCGACUUUUGGGGUGGGUGGGGCCGGGGAAGGGGGAGAGGAGGGGUAGGGUAAGGGUGGAGGUAGGUAGCUAGCUAGUCAGAAAGGACGCACGCACGAAGCAGAGAUCGUCGGCGGAAACGCGCACAACUAGACAUCUGCAUGCCCCCACUCCCUCCUCCUCUAGUUAAGUACCGACCGCGCCCGCCCCCCCGACGACGCCGACGCCGACGCCGCCACGUCGGUCGGCGGCGACGACCGCGCCCCUCCUCGUCGAGAAGCAGCCGGCCUCCGCCACCGUGACCGCCACGGCACCGCCUGGGCGCCCGCCUCCGCGACGCAACGGGUGCGACGCUGAGCCGGUUGUGGUUCAAGACGAUGAUGUUGUUGAUGAGCGACAGCGUCGGCGCGGUGAAGACGUUCCGGACGUUCGCGAUGACCUGCGCGCCCCCGUGCGAGGCGUUGCAGGGGCAGCCGCCUCCGACGGCGUUCUUGUUCGCGAGGUCCUCGUCGUUGCCUAGUCCCCCGGCCGGCCCGAGGACGCGGCAGCAGCGGAGGUGGUUGCGGCGACGGCCGCCGUAGUGCAGCAGAUGGAGGUACAGCGAGGGCGGCGGCCCGAGGGAGAGGAGCCGCGACCCGGAGGUGCCGGUGCCCUCGUCGAGGGACCGGAGCGAGGACGAGCCCUCGCCGCGGAGUCCGCCGCUGGUGGAGCCGGAGAAGGUGCGGUACGUCAGCCAGCAGAGCCUGCGGUGGCGGAUGCUCUACGUGGUCGUCGUGGUCUGGGUCCACCUAGUCGACGACCCCGAGCCGAUGCCGCGGCCGCUGCGGUUGCCGAGCGUCUAGGUGUAUUUCGGGACCGUCGUCGUGGAAGUUCUGCCUCGACCGCCAGAGAAACUGCCGAAGAUGCGCGGCGACGACAGGCCGAGGUAGCAGGGCCCUGACCUCCUCGACGUACACUUUCGGCUCCGGUGGCGGCCGCUCGUGGUGGUGGUGGUGGUGGUCUUCUUCCGCUGGCUACCCCUAGUCGUCUCGACCCUAGUUGUAGGCUGCAGCAGCAGAUUGCAGCUCCGAUUGUAGUACCGGAGCCUGCGCGAGUACCGGCGGCGGCGGCGCCGCAGGUACUUGGGCCGCCAGUCGUUGCGACGGUGCCGCGGCUGCAGGAGGGGAGAGUACAUGACCCCGUUGCCCUUGUAGCCGCCGAGCGGACGUCGCACCGGUCUAUACCGGUUGACGCCUAGGAGGUAACGUUGGAAGAAGAUCGGCUGGCAGGUCGCUCAGAGCUUGAGAGCUGCAUGCCUGAGCAACGGCGACCAGCAAUUGAACAGCUAAAAAGAGGAGGUAAAAAGGCCAAUUGAGAAAGGAACUGAUUUUAUUGUACAUUAAACACCCCCCCUUUCGAUUCUACUCUCUCUUAUGAGGCCCAUCGAUCUCUCCCUCUGCUAGAGCCUCAGCCUCCAGUCUUUCGUCACUAGGUUUUUCUUAGUAUCCCAAACAAGAGAAAGCGGCUACCUCUCUACCUAGGUGGUCAGGUCAGGUCAGGUACAAGAACACGCCGCAGCGGAAGUUAGGUAUUAGUUCUUCUGCUCCCGUACGUACGUAUCUAGUUGCGCCUCUUCUCCCUUCGUGCGUUCGUUCACAUUCAGAUCUGUGAGGACCGAUAUGACGAACUAAACGACGAAGAGGGAGAGGAACCCACAAAACAUAUAUUCCGUAUACCACAUCCACACCCCUCCUAUAUACUCUCGAUCGAUCGUUAUCGUACGUCGUCGUUACCACCACGUUCAUUACUCGGAGAGAGAGAGAUCGAAAGAGAGAGUAGAACCGUAAAAUUAAUCACACAAAUUAACCAAUGAGGUUAAACGGUUGAGAGCAAUCUACAUAUUCAAUUAUGAUCAUGAGGAGAGCACCUUCGAAUUAAUCUCUUGACAAAAACUCAAGAGUUCGUAACCAGUGGAAAAAUUUCCCAAAGAAGAAGGAAAGAGAGAAAGAGAGAGAAGAUCUCACCUAAAGAAAGUAAAAAGAACCCCAAUAGAAAACAAGUUUGAGACAACAUGGUCACUACUGUAACACUCAAUACUCCUUAAUUUGACCAUGACAACAGGACUACUACCAAGUAUGUUCAGGGGUAUAUACACACACAUUCAUUCUUACUUAUGAUAUACGUGCGUAAGAUAGUUGAACGAUCGAUAUCAAUGAAGUGAAAAUCACGUACCUACCUACAGAGUGAAAACCAGUACACGUCGUCGAAAUCGAUCGCUCGAAAUUAAGCGCGAGGGAGAACACCUACGCGCUCGCUCGCGUACUAGUCUAGAAACUUAAGACACGUAAAACCCUCUCCCGACAGAAUAAACACUUCCUAGCUAGGUAGCAUCCUAAGGGCGUACGUCACGGUGAGUACGUUCAAUCGCAAUAGUACAAAGACACUAGUCUUUGAAAAUACGGGUGCAAACGUCUAUCUGCCGCUCCCCAUUUUUAUGCCGACAAAUGUAUACGAACAAGAAAGGACGUACAGAGCAUCGGUAAAAACCUAGGCAUAAAACUACGAUCGUUACAAGUGCGACGACGAUGCACUCACAUGGUACAUUUCCUUUCCCUCUAUUUAAACCCUUCUUCUUCCAUUCGUUACACACACGAUCGAUCUUCCGUGAACUUUACCUCCCGUAAAUUAAUCCAACCCAAAACACACGUACAUCCUCAUAUAUUUUCCAUAAGACUAAACCUAAAUCUAAGAACCGUUUUUUCACGAACGUACAGUCAAAGUACGUAUAUAUCCUUUUAAAUAAAAGCGGGACAGAGAAUGAUAUAUAGAAAAUGAAUAUCAUUGUUUACUUUUUCAGGUGAUACUAAAAGUUAAAAGGUCAUUUGAAUGUUAACACGUGGAUUGGAUGAAUAUCAUUGUUGACUUUUUCGUUGUUAUAUAGUACAACUAUAGUAAAAGCGGAGACAAAUAUACACAUAUAUGGAUCUUCUCAUUUGACGUGACCGGCCUACACUAGACGUAUAGUGAAGCGGAAGAGUUCAAGAGAUUUUACUAAGGUAGUUAUAAAAGUCAAGUAAUAUAAUCAGGUGAUUAUACACAGUUCCCUCGCAAACUCUUAAGUUUGAAUGUUAACAUUAAAACUUGAUAGAGUUUUAUUAUAUAAUCACGAAAGGUAUAAAAGACGCAUCACAACCUAAUUUUUAUUAUCAAUCAGGUAAGUUAAUCGAUCGCUCAGUAAGUGUUUUUUUAAUCGAUCCCUCAGUAAAUACUUGAUAUAUCAUGAGGUAUACAAGACUUAAUAUUCUACAAGAUUGGAAUAAAAAAGC
RNAcentral lists this ribosomal RNA (3419 nucleotides) under Triticum aestivum (bread wheat). Its description in RNAcentral is "partial small subunit ribosomal RNA". The record is from RNAcentral. Lineage: Eukaryota; Viridiplantae; Streptophyta; Magnoliopsida; Poales; Poaceae.